This 356-nucleotide ribosomal RNA is filed under the name uncultured bacterium. RNAcentral's name for it is "bacterial SSU rRNA". It matches the Rfam family "Bacterial small subunit ribosomal RNA", at positions 8 to 353 of the family's 1533-position model. The record is from RNAcentral.
AGAGUUUGAUCAUGGCUCAGGAUGAACGCUAGCUACAGGCUUAACACAUGCAAGUCGAGGGGCAGCAUUUUAGUUUGCUUGCAAACUAAAGAUGGCGACCGGCGCACGGGUGAGUAACGCGUAUCCAACCUGCCCACCACUUGGGGAUAACCUUGCGAAAGUAAGACUAAUACCCAAUGAUAUCUCUAGAAGACAUCUGAAAGAGAUUAAAGAUUUAUCGGUGAUGGAUGGGGAUGCGUCUGAUUAGCUUGUUGGCGGGGUAACGGCCCACCAAGGCAACGAUCAGUAGGGGUUCUGAGAGGAAGGUCCCCCACAUUGGAACUGAGACACGGUCCAAACUCCUACGGGAGGCAGCA